GACGUAGGGGGCCAGCGUUGUUCGGAAUUACUGGGUGUAAAGGGUUCGUAGGCGGUGCGGCAAGUCGGGAGUGAAAUCUCUGGGCUCAACCCAGAGGCUGCUCCCGAAACUGCUGUGCUUGAGUGUGGGAGAGGCGCGUGGAAUUGCAGGUGUAGCGGUGAAAUGCGUAGAUAUCUGCAGGAACACCCGUGGCGAAAGCGGCGCGCUGGACCACUACUGACGCUGAAGAACGAAAGCUAGGGGAGCAAACAGG
RNAcentral lists this ribosomal RNA (253 nucleotides) under uncultured bacterium. Its description in RNAcentral is "partial 16S ribosomal RNA". It matches the Rfam family "Bacterial small subunit ribosomal RNA", at positions 524 to 776 of the family's 1533-position model. The record is from RNAcentral.